AAGGAAGGUGCCUGUGCAGAAGUGAAGGUAGAGAGAGUUAAUGGAGUUUGUAGAAUAGCUAAUUUUUACUAUUUGUUUAAUCUGUUACUAAGGGUCAUUUGUCAAACUGUGGCUGCUGUUCCUGUCCCUCCUUCCCUUGUUCACAGCAAUGAACAGCCUGGGAAAAAUUAUCCCCUUUCCAAAGGAUCAGCAAAGAGGAAGAGUUGAUGAUGAGGGUCCUGAGAAGUGAGGCAAUUGUGCAUGGAUCACUUCCCAGGACACAAAGGCUGUCUGCACACUCUGCACCCAGGAAAUGAGGUUAAUCAACACUUGCUCACAAGGACAGUGAAAAGAUCUUCCUCAUGAUGAUGGUAAGACCAGGAUCUUCACUGCUUGUUUCCUGAGGACAGUGGCAGCUCCACAAGACUUCAUCAGAAAUUGGUGGGGAAGUUGCUCCUCCAAGGAAUGAAGACUUGGACCUUGUACAAAACUGGCAUGUCACUCAGCCAAGGGACAGAAUAAAAGGCAAACAAAGCGGCAGCAUCUCAUACAACAUUCUCAAGGUGGAAUCUUCAAGUGAUGGGCAGCAUGGUUUGUGGGACUUCUUGGUUUUCCUUCCAUCUGGUUCAUAGGUGGAGCCGUGUACAUCAAUACACACAUGAAUGCAGCAAGUGUGUUCGUUUACCAACCUUUGCACAGGCAAACCUUCAGGCCACUUGUUGUAAUUUUUUCUUUUCUUUG
This 720-nucleotide long non-coding RNA is filed under the name Junco hyemalis (dark-eyed junco). RNAcentral's name for it is "lncRNA (ENSJHYG00000006811.1)". Lineage: Eukaryota; Metazoa; Chordata; Aves; Passeriformes; Passerellidae. The record is from RNAcentral.